This 76-nucleotide transfer RNA is filed under the name Buchnera aphidicola (Thelaxes californica). RNAcentral describes it as "tRNA-Gly". It matches the Rfam family "tRNA". Rfam says of the family: Transfer RNA (tRNA) molecules are approximately 80 nucleotides in length. Their secondary structure includes four short double-helical elements and three loops (D, anti-codon, and T loops). The record is from RNAcentral. Lineage: Bacteria; Pseudomonadati; Pseudomonadota; Gammaproteobacteria; Enterobacterales; Erwiniaceae.
GCGGGAAUAGCUCAGUUGGUAGAGCACAACCUUGCCAAGGUUGAGGUCGCGAGUUCGAAUCUCGUUUCCCGCUCAA